This 265-nucleotide unclassified non-coding RNA is filed under the name uncultured fungus. Its description in RNAcentral is "partial contains 5.8S ribosomal RNA, internal transcribed spacer 2, and large subunit ribosomal RNA". The stretch from base 1 to 52 matches the Rfam family "5.8S ribosomal RNA", at positions 103 to 154 of the family's 154-position model. Lineage: Eukaryota; Fungi. The record is from RNAcentral.
AACGCAUAUUGCGCCCUCUGGUAUUCCGGAGGGCAUGCCUGUUCGAGCGUCAUUUCUAUCCUCAAGCACGGCUUGUGUGUUGAGCAAUUUGUCCUUUUAAAUGGACAUGCUUGAAAAGCAGUGGCAAUGGCGAGUUUGGAGCCCCAGUGUAUAGAGCUUCGUCACACACUGCGGUGGCCCUGCUCCACCAUCUUCUGUCAGUUUUCGCUACAACAAAAAAAAUCUGAUUGACCUCGGAUCAGGCAGGGGUACCCGCUGAACUUAA